RNAcentral lists this ribosomal RNA (253 nucleotides) under uncultured bacterium. RNAcentral describes it as "partial 16S ribosomal RNA". It matches the Rfam family "Bacterial small subunit ribosomal RNA", at positions 524 to 776 of the family's 1533-position model. The record is from RNAcentral.
UACGUAGGGUGCAAGCGUUAAUCGGAAUUACUGGGCGUAAAGCGUGCGCAGGCGGUUAUGCAAGACAGAUGUGAAAUCCCCGGGCUCAACCUGGGAACUGCAUUUGUGACUGCAUGGCUAGAGUACGGCAGAGGGGGAUGGAAUUCCACGUGUAGCAGUGAAAUGCGUAGAUAUGCGGAGGAACACCGAUGGCGAAGGCAAUCCCCUGGGCCUGCACUGACGCUCAUGCACGAAAGCGUGGGGAGCAAACAGG